This 853-nucleotide ribosomal RNA is filed under the name uncultured bacterium. RNAcentral's name for it is "bacterial SSU rRNA". It matches the Rfam family "Bacterial small subunit ribosomal RNA", at positions 596 to 1450 of the family's 1533-position model. The record is from RNAcentral.
GAANUCCCCGAGCUUAACUUGGGAACUGCGUUUUGAACUGGUAAGCUAGAGUAUGUCAGAGGGGGGUAGANUUCCACGUGUAGCAGUGAAAUGCGUAGAGAUGUGGAGGAAUACCGAUGGCGAAGNCAGCCCCCUGGGAUAAUACUGACGUUCAUGCUCGAAAGCGUGGGUAGCAAACAGGAUUAGAUACCCUGGUAGUCCACGCCCUAAACGAUGUCAAUUAGCUGUUGGGGCACUUGAUGCCUUAGUAGCGAAGCUAACGCGUGAAAUUGACCGCCUGGGGAGUACGGUCGCAAGAUUAAAACUCAAAGGAAUUGACGGGGACCCGCACAAGCGGUGGAUGAUGUGGAUUAAUUCGAUGCAACGCGAAGAACCUUACCUGGUCUUGACAUGUACGGAAUCUUCCAGAGACGGAAGAGUGCCUUCGGGAGCCGUAACACAGGUGCUGCAUGGCUGUCGUCAGCUCGUGUCGUGAGAUGUUGGGUUAAGUCCCGCAACGAGCGCAACCCUUGUCAUUAGUUGCCACCAUUCAGUUGGGCACUCUAAUGAGACUGCCGGUGACAAACCGGAGGAAGGUGGGGAUGACGUCAAGUCCUCAUGGCCCUUAUGACCAGGGCUUCACACGUCAUACAAUGGUCGGUACAGAGGGUAGCCAAGCCGCGAGGUGGAGCCAAUCUCAGAAAACCGAUCGUAGUCCGGAUUGCACUCUGCAACUCGAGUGCAUGAAGUCGGAAUCGCUAGUAAUCGCAGGUCAGCAUACUGCGGUGAAUACGUUCCCGGGUCUUGUACACACCGCCCGUCACACCAUGGGAGUGGGGGAUACCAGAAGUAGGUAGGCUAACCGCAAGGAGGC